This is a non-coding RNA of Dallia pectoralis (Alaska blackfish), 75 nucleotides long. The record is from the annotation of a GenBank genome assembly. NCBI's taxonomy places the organism in Eukaryota, Metazoa, Chordata, Actinopteri, Esociformes, Umbridae.
GAGUUGGUGUAGCUCAGUGUUAGAGUGCAUGCUUUGUACGUUUGAUUUCCUGGGUUCAAUCCACCAAUCAACCCA